GACCUUUCCAAAUCUUGACAUCCUUUGAAAACUCCAGAGAUAGAGCUUUCCCUUCGGGGACAAAGUGACAGGUGGUGCAUGGUUGUCGUCAGCUCGUGUCGUGAGAUGUUGGGUUAAGUCCCGCAACGAGCGCAACCCUUAAGCUUAGUUGCCAUCAUUAAGUUGGGCACUCUAGGUUGACUGCCGGUGACAAACCGGAGGAAGGUGGGGAUGACGUCAAAUCAUCAUGCCCCUUAUGAUUUGGGCUACACACGUGCUACAAUGGACAAUACAAAGGGCAGCUAAACCGCGAGGUCAUGCAAAUCCCAUAAAGUUGUUCUCAGUUCGGAUUGUAGUCUGCAACUCGACUACAUGAAGCUGGAAUCGCUAGUAAUCGUAGAUCAGCAUGCUACGGUGAAUACGUUCCCGGGUCUUGUACACACCGCCCGUA
RNAcentral lists this ribosomal RNA (430 nucleotides) under Staphylococcus sp. AR5. RNAcentral describes it as "bacterial SSU rRNA". It matches the Rfam family "Bacterial small subunit ribosomal RNA", at positions 966 to 1398 of the family's 1533-position model. Lineage: Bacteria; Bacillati; Bacillota; Bacilli; Caryophanales; Staphylococcaceae. The record is from RNAcentral.